RNAcentral lists this long non-coding RNA (434 nucleotides) under Capsella rubella. RNAcentral's name for it is "long non-coding RNA (CRUB_LNC003125)". Lineage: Eukaryota; Viridiplantae; Streptophyta; Magnoliopsida; Brassicales; Brassicaceae. The record is from RNAcentral.
ACCAUCCAACUCCCUUUGCUCUCCUGAAAACCACCUUAUCAAUCUUCAGUAAACAAAUCUUACAACCAAUAGUUUACAAGUAAGAAGAAGAAGAGUAUUAUCCAAACCAUUUUCUUUUCUUGUAUAUCUCCAAGUAUUGCCUUGAGAAAGAUUAUUCUUAAUUUUUGCUAAGUGUUUGGUCUUUGUUGUUAACCACAGAAGCAAAUAAUGAUGGAGAGGAGACUCCCCUUUUAUAGCCACAAAAAUGAAUGAAAGAGAGCUAGCACCGACCUUCCACUAUAUGUGAUUUGAGACAUAUCACAAAAACGUGAAGUCUUUUAGAGAUAGGUUCAUCACACUUUAUUUCCCAACUUUCCACCAUUUCUUUACUUAUAUUUUGAAAAUUAUUUUGGCACUAUUUUUUUUAUUUUUUUUUUGUAUUUUUUCAUUUGUUG